This 449-nucleotide ribosomal RNA is filed under the name uncultured bacterium. RNAcentral's name for it is "bacterial SSU rRNA". It matches the Rfam family "Bacterial small subunit ribosomal RNA", at positions 29 to 471 of the family's 1533-position model. The record is from RNAcentral.
AACGAACGCUGGCGGCGCGCUUAAUACAUGCAAGUCGAACGAGAAGGUGUAGCAAUACACUUGUAAAGUGGCGAACGGGUGAGGAAUACAUGGGUAACCUACCCUCGAGUGGGGAACAACCAGCCGAAAGGUUGGCUAAUACCGCGUACGCUUCCGGGUCUUCGGAUUCGGAAGGAAAGUCAUACCGUGGGUAUGACGCUCAAGGAUGGGCUCAUGUCCUAUCAGCUUGUUGGUAGGGUAACGGCCUACCAAGGCUCCGACGGGUAGCUGGUCUGAGAGGACGAUCAGCCACACUGGCACUGCGACACGGGCCAGACUCCUACGGGAGGCAGCAGUAAGGAAUAUUGCGCAAUGGGCGAAAGCCUGACGCAGCGACGCCGCGUGGGGGAUGAAGGUCUUCGGAUUGUAAACCCCUUUCGGGAGGGAAAAUGGAACGAGUAAUCGUUCGG